UACGGAGGGUGCAAGCGUUAUCCGGAUUUACUGGGUUUAAAGGGUGUGUAGGCGGGCUUUUAAGUCAGUGGUGAAAUCUCCGGGCUCAACCCGGAAACUGCCAUUGAUACUAUUAGUCUUGAAUAUUGUUGAGGUAGGCGGAAUAAGUCAUGUAGCGGUGAAAUGCAUAGAUAUGACUUAGAACACCGAUUGCGAAGGCAGCUUACUAAACAAUUAUUGACGCUGAGGCACGAAAGCGUGGGGAUCAAACAGG
This 253-nucleotide ribosomal RNA is filed under the name uncultured bacterium. RNAcentral's name for it is "partial 16S ribosomal RNA". It matches the Rfam family "Bacterial small subunit ribosomal RNA", at positions 524 to 776 of the family's 1533-position model. The record is from RNAcentral.